Molecule: ribosomal RNA, 1185 nt
Filed under: Talaromyces verruculosus
Lineage: Eukaryota; Fungi; Ascomycota; Eurotiomycetes; Eurotiales; Trichocomaceae
Description: eukaryotic LSU rRNA
Rfam family: Eukaryotic large subunit ribosomal RNA
Source: RNAcentral
UAGAGGGUGAUAAUCCCGUCUGGGAUGGGCGGCCGCGCCCGUGUGAAGCUCCUUCGACGAGUCGAGUUGUUUGGGAAUGCAGCUCUAAGCGGGUGGUAGAUUCCAUCUAAAGCUAAAUAUUGGCCGGAGACCGAUAGCGCACAAGUAGAGUGAUCGAAAGAUGAAAAGCACUUUGAAAAGAGAGUUAAACAGCACGUGAAAUUGUUGAAAGGGAAGCGUUGUCCACCAGACUCGCCCGGGGGGGCUCAGCCGGCACGUGUGCCGGUGUACUCCUCUCCGGGCGGGCCAGCAUCGGUUUGGGCGGCUGGUGAAAGGCCCCGGGAAUGUAACACCCUCCGGGGUGCCUUAUAGCCCGGGGUGCCAUGCAGCCAGCCUGGACCGAGGCCCGCGCUUCGGCGAGGAUGCUGGCGUAAUGGUGGUCAACGGCCCGUCUUGAAACACGGACCAAGGAGUCUAACAUCUAUGCGAGUGUUCGGGUGUCAAACCCGUCCGCGCAGUGAAAGCGAACGGAGGUGGGAGCCCCUCGGGGCGCACCAUCGACCGAUCCUGAUGUCUUCGGAUGGAUUUGAGUAAGAGCAUAGCUGUUGGGACCCGAAAGAUGGUGAACUAUGCCUGAAUAGGGCGAAGCCAGAGGAAACUCUGGUGGAGGCUCGCAGCGGUUCUGACGUGCAAAUCGAUCGUCAAAUUUGGGUAUAGGGGCGAAAGACUAAUCGAACCAUCUGGUAGCUGGUUCCUGCCGAAGUUUCCCUCAGGAUAGCAGUAACGACAUCAGUUUUAUGAGGUAAAGCGAAUGAUUAGAGGCCUUGGGGUUGAAACAACCUUAACCUAUUCUCAAACUUUAAAUAUGUAAGAAGCCCUUGUUGCUUAGUUGAACGUGGGCGUUAGAAUGAAACGUUACUAGUGGGCCAUUUUUGGUAAGCAGAACUGGCGAUGCGGGAUGAACCGAACGCGAGGUUAAGGUGCCGGAAUGCACGCUCAUCAGACACCACAAAAGGUGUUAGUUCAUCUAGACAGCCCGACGGUGGCCAUGGAAGUCGGAAUCCGCUAAGGAGUGUGUAACAACUCACGGGCCGAAUGAACUAGCCCUGAAAAUGGAUGGCGCUCAAGCGUGCUACCCAUACCUCGCCGUCGGGGUAGAAACGAUGCCCCGACGAGUAGGCAGGCGUGGAGGUCCGUGACGAAGCC